RNAcentral lists this ribosomal RNA (677 nucleotides) under uncultured eukaryote. Its description in RNAcentral is "SSU rRNA". It matches the Rfam family "Eukaryotic small subunit ribosomal RNA", at positions 591 to 1288 of the family's 1831-position model. The record is from RNAcentral.
CUCAUAGCGUAUAUUUAAGUUGUUGCAGUUAAAAAGCUCGUAGUCGGAUUUUGGCUGAGAACGGUCGGUCCGCCGUUAGGUGUGCACUGACUGGUCUCAGCUUCCUGGUGAGGAGGUGUGCUUCAUCGCCACUUAGUCACCGUGGUUACUUUGAAAAAAUUAGAGUGUUCAAAGCGGGCUUACGCUUGAAUAUAUUAGCAUGGAAUAACACCAUAGGACUCCUGUCCUAUUUCGUUGGUCUCGGGACGGGAGUAAUGAUUAAGAGGAACAGUUGGGGGCAUUCGUAUUUCAUUGUCAGAGGUGAAAUUCUUGGAUUUAUGAAAGACGAACUUCUGCGAAAGCAUUUGCCAAGGAUGUUUUCAUUGAUCAAGAACGAAAGUUGGGGGCUCGAAGAUGGUUAGAUACCAUCCUAGUCUCAACCAUAAACGAUGCCGACUAGGGAUUGGCGGAUGUUAAUUGAUGACUUCGCCAGCACCUUAUGAGAAAUCAAAGUUUUUGGGUUCCGGGGGGAGUAUGGUCGCAAGGCUGAAACUUAAAGGAAUUGACGGAAGGGCACCACCAGGCGUGGAGCCUGCGGCUUAAUUUGACUCAACACGGGGAAACUUACCAGGUCCAGACAUAGUAAGGAUUGACAGAUUGAGAGCUCUUUCUUGAUUCUAUGGGUGGUGGUGCAUGGC